CGUUACUUUUUUCCAUGAGCCGUGGAACAGGAGUUAGGUAGUAGCAAACCCUUACCACGGUGGUUCUCGAAACCAGCCGCCGCAACUAUCCCCCACCCCCACUGCUGUGGAAGGCUGCGCUGGCUCCGGCUAACCGGCGAUGGAAGAUCCUGCUGGACUCUGUCGACAUGUUCCCACUAUGAUGCGGACAACUUGGACCACCCGGAUCCGGUUCCUCUGGCGGAUCUCCAGCGGAUUGCCGACACAAGCGCUGACCCGGUUCCUGGUGCGGCGAGCGUGUUGGGGGCGCAAUACAGGGCAGGUAGGAAGGCGACGGGCGCCGCCGGUGGGAGGCUUCUUCGAGGCAGGGCAGGUAGGAAGGUGAAUCCAGAGGCGCGUGGAUGGACAAACAGGUGCGGCCUGAAGCUAGCCAUUGCAGGGCACCAGCUAUUUACUGUUUGUUGAAUGCUACUAUGUUUGACGUACGCCGCCUUGAAAUUCGCUGCCAUACUUUCUGUAAGUUCGACUAGCUGAAUGAACGGCAUGAAGAUGAUCGUUCAUGUGGCUUGUGUAGGAUGCGAACAGGUAAAUUUUGGUAAGAUAGCUUAUGCUCCCACACCGUAAUUGGUCCCAUGAUGCAGAAUUUAGAAACAGACAUAUAGAUGCUGCUUAAAAUUAUUGGAAAGUGGCGAGUGUAAGGAGCUGUGUGUGUGUAGUCAGCUAAACGAUUAAGUCUGAACUCGAAGCGCACACGUUGAAACAAAGAAGACAGAAAUCUGAUUGUGAGUAGUGUCACUCAGGAUUUUGUAUUUUCUGCCACACCAUUCAUACUGAAUUUGCCUUUCAUGUUUCCCACUGUGUGUUUCAACUUUGUAUCUGCAAUUUUGUAUAGAUGGUUUGUGAGUACUGAAAGCAUUUGAAUAUGUUUCUUGAGAAAUGUUAGCAUGGCACCAUGCAAAGCGUGGUCCCAUCCGAUAUUCCACCACCAUUCCUGCUAGUCAGCAUUUCAUUUCCACCCCCUGCGCCUCCACCUCCUCCACUUAUCUUUCUAUGUAAGCAACUGCAUCAACCAGAUCACUGAGAUCAGAUCAGAUGAGAUACACGCACUGGGUUUGGAUGUAGAUAGGUCCACGGUUCUAUCAGAUCUUCACCAAAUGCAUGCACUAAUGUACCAGUAGUAUUUGGUGGAAGUCAUGUACACUAUUACUUGUUUUCUGGUCAUGUACUACAGCAGCAUCCCCUUGUUGUCCGUAUAAAUAACACUACUCCAGAAAUGGUUUUCCUUCUGUGAUGAUAUGCAUCACACACGGAUUCAAGAUUAACCCGUACAUGUUAAGUGUCAUCAGAGACACACAAAACUAAUACUAGGUAUUAACAUGUCUAGUUAUGGGAGUGUCGUUAUAUCGCCGUUCUUUUGCUUAUUUGUGCAUCCUGAUAUUUACUCCCUCUGUAAAGAAAUAUAAGAUUGUUUAGAUCACUAAUUUAUUUUUGGACAAAAAUGAUGUCUUAUCAGCAUAUACACCACUUUGAACAUCGAGUCAACCUCGUCACUUCAUAUCACUUGAUGGCAAAAUGAAAAAUGAUGCAUCCCAAGAAACAGCACACAGGUUGCAUGGUGAAACUUAGCUUAUUGUGUGACAAUUUCCUGCUUCAAAUUAAUGGUGACAUAUAGUGUACAAAAAGAAAUAAUCAGAUGUGACAUGAGGUGCAUUACAGCCUAGUUAGUAGCGUAUAAGACGAUUUUUGGAUUACUAACUGACAUAAGUAAUCGUUACUCCCUCCGUCCCACAAUAUAUGACGUUAUUACAUCCAAUAUGCUCACAUAACGUCUUAUAUUAUGGGAUGGAGGGAGUACUUACUAAAAAAAGAUGGAGAAUGGCGUUUGGGGAUAUGUAUGAAUCUCGUGUGUACCCCGUUUUCUCAGCUCGCUGAUGGAGACCAUGUUAGCUAAUUUUUUUUGUGAGACUACCUUCAAAAUUUCUUCACAAUCAUGUUUAAUUCUAGCCAUUGUUUUUACCUACAAUUCACAAGAUACAGGACAAUGUGUGAGGUUGCAUUUACCAGCAACGAAGCUCACAUUGUAUAAUUUUAUGUAUAUACGUCAUCAUGUAUACCACAAAUGAUAUAGGCAGACAUAUUUUAAUAUUUCAGAAGAGUGUGGCGUCGAAAGAUCAAGUGGUGUUGACAAGCAAAUGGAAAUGUGCGAAGCCAUGCAUGGACCAGAGACAACAGGUGUGGAAUGCCAUUGAAGAGCAAGAGAAAUUCGAGAAGCAGGAGAAGAAACGAAGGCAGAAGGAGAUUAAUUGUCCAAAUUAGCACUGAAGUUGCAGCGGGACAAAUUAGCCCCAGUUCUCUCUUGUGGGUUUAAUUAUGAAUGGUAAUAUUUACACUGGCAUGCUUAGUUAUGAAUGCUAUGUGAUCUAGACAUAUCACAAUAAAAGAUUUUACUCUUAUUUUGCCAAGCUAACAACAUGGAUCAUGUGUGGUGUUGCACCAUCUUUUGUGUCCAGGUUAUAUGUUCUAGUUGGUAGAUUAUAAACUUUGUUGGAUUUUGCCUUAA
Triticum aestivum (bread wheat) is the source of this 2539-nucleotide long non-coding RNA. RefSeq lists it as uncharacterized. The record is from RefSeq and is a predicted model, not a curated record. The transcript is spliced from 3 exons. NCBI's taxonomy places the organism in Eukaryota, Viridiplantae, Streptophyta, Magnoliopsida, Poales, Poaceae.